This 304-nucleotide small nuclear RNA is filed under the name Nannospalax galili (Upper Galilee mountains blind mole rat). Its description in RNAcentral is "7SK RNA (ENSNGAG00000002255.1)". It matches the Rfam family "7SK RNA". Rfam says of the family: 7SK was discovered as an abundant small nuclear RNA in the mid-70s but a possible function has only recently been suggested. Two independent studies have found that 7SK RNA binds the CDK9/cyclin T complex (known as elongation factor P-TEFb). Lineage: Eukaryota; Metazoa; Chordata; Mammalia; Rodentia; Spalacidae. The record is from Rfam by way of RNAcentral.
GGAUGUGAAGAUCUCACUGUGACCCCUGUAACUCCACUGAUCACCAGAGCUGAUUUGGCUGCUCUGAUCUUGCUAGGCAUGGGCCCCUUCCUCCCUCACUUCUCCAUAUUCAUCCAUCUUGAAGCUACACUCUUGGUCAAAGAGGAUGACCUUCUUCCAUCCUGGAGGAUCAGUCAAGGAUAAAUGAGUAAGUGUGCUUCCUUGCUAGAACCUCCAAACUCUCAAACACUCGAAGGUGUUAUUGAGUCAAUAUUUGCCAACUUCUGUACCUUAAUAAAUCACAUAACAAAGUUUUCUUAUAUUA